Oncorhynchus tshawytscha (Chinook salmon) is the source of this 1131-nucleotide long non-coding RNA. The record is from Ensembl. NCBI's taxonomy places the organism in Eukaryota, Metazoa, Chordata, Actinopteri, Salmoniformes, Salmonidae.
UUUACCAAUGUUUCCCAGACCCCAAGUCCUCCCAUUUACCAAUGUUUCCCAAGUCCUCCCCUUUACCAGUGUUUCCCAAACCCCAAGUCCUCCCAUUUACCAAUGUUUCCCAAGUCCUCCCCUUUACCAGUGUUUCCCAGACCCCAAGUCCUCCCAUUUACCAAUGUUUCCCAAGUCCUCUCCUUUACCAGUGUUUCCCAGACCCCAAGUCCUCCCAUUUACCAAUGUUUCCCAGACUCCAAGUCCUCCCAUUUACCAGUGUUUCCCAGACCCCAAGUCCUCCCCUUUACCAGUGUUUCCCAGACCCCAAGUCCUCCCAUUUACCAAUGUUUCCCAAGUCCUCUCCUUUACCAGUGUUUCCCAGACCCCAAGUCCCCCCUUUACCAGUGUUUCCCAGACUCCAAGUCCUCCCCUUUACCAGUGUUUCCCAGACCCCAAGUCCUCCCCUUUACCAGUGUUUCCCAGACCCCAAGUCCUCCCCUUUACCAGUGUUUCCCAGACCCCAAGUCCCCCCUUUACCAGUGUUUCCCAGACGCCAAGUCCCCCCUUUACCAGUGUUUCCCAGACCCCUGUCCUGUCCCCCCAUUAUCAAUGUUUCCCAUGUCCUGUCCCCCUUUACCAAUGUUUCCCAGACCCCUGUCCCCCCUUUACCAGUGUUUCCCAGAUCCCAAGUCCUGCCCUUUACCAGUGUUUCCCAGACCCCUGUCCUAUCCCCCCUUUACCAGUGUUUCCCAGACCCCAAGUCCCCCUUUACCAGUGUUUCCCAUGUCCUGUCCCCCCUUUACCAGUUGUUUCCCAUGUCCUGUCCUCCCCUUUACCAGUGUUUCCCAUGUCCUGUCCCCCCUUUACCAGUGUUUCCCAUGUUCUGUCCCCCCUUUACCAGUGUUUCCCAUGUCCUGUCCCCCCUUUUACCAGUGUUUCCCAUGUCCUGUCCCCCCUUUACCAGUGUUUCCCAUGUCCUGUCCCCCCUUUACCAGUGUUUCCCAUGUCCUGUCCCCCCUUUACCAGUGUUUCCCAGACCCCAAGUCCCCCUUUACCAAUGUUUCCCAUGUCCUGUCCCCCCUUUACCAAUGUUUCCCAUGUCCUGUCCCCCCUUUACCAGUGUUUCCCAGACCCCUGUCCUGUCCCCCC